Panicum virgatum (switchgrass) is the source of this 1246-nucleotide long non-coding RNA. RefSeq lists it as uncharacterized. The record is from RefSeq and is a predicted model, not a curated record. Lineage: Eukaryota; Viridiplantae; Streptophyta; Magnoliopsida; Poales; Poaceae. The transcript has 2 exons.
GCACAGGGGAGUUCGCCGACGAUGAGAGGAAGAGAGGAAGCAAGUGGACGCAGUGAACGGGACGGAGUACGUGCCCACAUACAAGGACACGGACGGCGACUGGAUGCUCGUCGGCGACGUCCCCUGGAAGUUUCAAUGAAAUGAACUAGCAUGGAUGUUUAACGAAUUGGAAAGCUGGUGGAUGAUAGUUUGCAGAACCCUGUUAGUUUACCUAUUUGUCUAUUCAGUUUCAUAAUAUGCAUGUGUACUACUGCAUGUGUUCUUUUUCUGGCAAAAAAUACUUUUUCAGUUUCAUAUCUUCUGCAGGUAUAUUUUCAGACACCAUUAGCCUUUGAUUAGUUUCAAUUAUGCUGUUGCAUUGGCCUAACGGGAUUGUAUGUUCUUUGGCAGUUGUGCAGCGGUGUGGAUGAAAAUGCAGCUGGUGCAUGUACCCAGCUUGUCUUUGCACCCAUUGAUGAAUCUUUUGCUGAUGAUGAUGAUUCUGGCUGUUGCCGAUUCUGGAUGUUGAUGCACUGUAGUCUUGUUCCGCUAUAUUUUUUGGAUGUUCAACCUAGAUGUUCUGGAUGUUAGAUCCUUGUUUCUGUAGCGCUCAUACAUAUAUUCGAUUCAAUUUGUCCAUCUCAGCAGCUUCUCAGUUCAGGCAGAGGUCGUACAAGUGGCGGAGGAGGGUGAAGGCCUCGCCGACCGCUGUGCGCUGGCUACCCACAGCAACUGUGGCCGUCGGAGCUUCGUGCCAUGGCGGAGCGGCGUGCGGCGGCGAGGGCGACCGCGGCCCCCACCCGGACUUCCUGUUCCACCUCAACUUUCACCAUGCGCUGUUAGAAGCUAUCGGCCUCCAGGUCUCCAUGCCACCCUUAUUGUUCAUGCCUCUCCAUCCUUUUUUUGUUCUUGAUUUGCUUUUUGUUUUGUUGGGAAACGAGGAGCUGUUGUAACGUAGGAGAGUUGAUGGCUGUUGUUCUUGCCGAUUGGGGAGGGAGAGAGUUAUGCAUGAAUUGAUGCAAACAAAUUCUAUCAUUUCUUUUCUUUUACUGUUGGCUAAGUGUUGUGUGUGUUUGAUACAUGUAAUAUGUUUUAUUGUGUUAUAUCAGUGAACUAUUUUAAAUCUUUUUAAUGGUGUACCUGUAUGUUCAAAUAAUAGAGUCUGUUGCUAGUAGUGUAUAUUGUUUAAGGUACCACGAUGUAUAUUUAAAAAUCACUGUGGUACCAAUGAUCAUUGUGGUUCCUGAUUAGUGUGGUUAUGAUUUGA